GACAGAGGUGCCGAGCGUUAGGCGGAAUCACUGGGCUUAAAGCGUGUGUAGGCGGGCGGGCAAGUACCUUGUGAAAUCCCACGGCUCAACCGUGGAACUGCUGGGUAUACUGCCUGUCUUGAGCCAGCCAGGGGCAGUCGGAACAGACGGUGGAGCGGUGAAAUGCGUAGAUAUCGGGAGGAACACCAGAGGCGAAGGCGGCGCACUGGACAGCAACUGACACUCAACUGCGAAAGCGUGGGGAGCAAACAGG
This 253-nucleotide ribosomal RNA is filed under the name uncultured bacterium. Its description in RNAcentral is "partial 16S ribosomal RNA". It matches the Rfam family "Bacterial small subunit ribosomal RNA", at positions 524 to 776 of the family's 1533-position model. The record is from RNAcentral.